GUGGGGAAUCUUGCGCAAUGGGCGAAAGCCUGACGCAGCCAUGCCGCGUGAAUGAUGAAGGUCUUAGGAUUGUAAAAUUCUUUCACCGGGGACGAUAAUGACGGUACCCGGAGAAGAAGCUCCGGCUAACUUCGUGCCAGCAGCCGCGGUAAUACGAAGGGGGCUAGCGUUGCUCGGAAUUACUGGGCGGAAAGGGCGCGUAGGCGGACAGCUUAGUCAGAGGUGAAAGCCCAGGGCUCAACCUUGGAAUUGCCUUUGAUACUGACUGUCUUGAGUUUGGGAGAGGUGAGUGGAACUCCGAGUGUAGAGGUGAAAUUCGUAGAUAUUCGGAAGAACACCAGUGGCGAAGGCGACUCACUGGCCCAAUACUGACGCUGAGGCGCGAAAGCGUGGGGAGCAAACAGGAUUAGAUAACCUUGUAGUCC
This 425-nucleotide ribosomal RNA is filed under the name uncultured bacterium. RNAcentral describes it as "partial 16S ribosomal RNA". It matches the Rfam family "Bacterial small subunit ribosomal RNA", at positions 354 to 796 of the family's 1533-position model. The record is from RNAcentral.